RNAcentral lists this ribosomal RNA (482 nucleotides) under uncultured bacterium. RNAcentral describes it as "bacterial SSU rRNA". It matches the Rfam family "Bacterial small subunit ribosomal RNA", at positions 8 to 526 of the family's 1533-position model. The record is from RNAcentral.
AGAGUUUGAUCCUGGCUCAGGACGAACGCUGGCGGCGUGCCUAAUGCAUGCAAGUCGCACGCAGUCUCCUUCGGGUGGCUGAGUGGCGCACGGCUGAGGAUCACGUGGGAACAUGCCUCCUUGUGGGGGACAACACCGCGAAAGCGGUGCUAAUCCCGCAUACGCUCGGCAACGAGGAAAGCGGCAACGCGCAGGGAGAGUGGCCCGCGGCCCAUCAGGUCGUUGGUGGGGUAAUGGCCUACCAAGCCGGUGACGGGUAGCUGGUCUGUGAGGACAGACAGCCAGACUGGGACUGAGACACGGCCCAGACUCCUACGGGAGGCAGCAGCAAGGAAUUUUCGUCAAUGGGCGCAAGCCUGAACGAGCAACGCCGCGUGGAGGAUGACGGCCUUCGGGUUGUAAACUCCUUUUUCGGGGGACGAUAAUGACGGUACCCCGGGAAUAAGGCUCGGCUAACUCUGUGCCAGCAGCCGCGGUAAUAC